GCAUGGAAUAAUAUAAGAGCAUUGAGUUCUGUCUUUGUGUUCUAUCAUGGUAUCAAAGUUGCCAUCAGAAUCGUCAUCCACCUCUCGUUCUUAAGCUGUCGCGCUGAAUUCUGGUAGCCCCUUUUUUUUUCAUCCCUCAAUCAGGCACAUCACUUUAUCUCAAUCAAGUUAAAUUCUUCUAACUAUCUUUUCUGACAAACACAGAUUCUACCAUUUUUUGUGGCCAAAAUCUCUUUAGAUACGUUGAUGGCAAUAUCAUGCCCUUCAUUUCACAUAUCGAACCUGGAAAAUAAAGAAAUUAUUGUUCCCAAUCCAUUCUAUUCUCAAUGGAUUCAGCAGGACCAAGUUAUUCUCAGUCUCCUUAUCUCGUCACUCUCGAAAGAAGUAAGUUUGAUUGUUAUAGGUCUUUCUAUAGCCAAAGAAGUUUGGGAAGCGUUGAAGGCUGCUCUCUCCUCGACUUUAAAUACCCAAAUUUUGAAUCUUCAUGUGCAACUUCAAAACAUGAAGCAAGAUGAUCUAAGUAUCACUCAAUGUCUUUAUAAGGCCAAACUCAUAAGUGAUAUGCUAGCCGUUGUUGCUCGUCCUCUUACACUUUCUAAUCAGAAUAUCUACAUAUUUAGGAUUUCAAAGUAAUUUUAAAGAUUUCAUCACAACUCUAUCAGCUCGUCUAAAACCUAUCAUAUUCAGUGAACUGCAUAGCCAACUUUUAAACCAUGAGUUUAUUCAAGGCUAGAACCUCUCAUCUUUGUCUAUCACUAUCUCGUCAUCUUCACAUCUUAUAUCCAACAUUAUUGCUAACUUCAGUCAACGAUCUUCCCAACUAGUUCGCACCUCAAAUAUUAGCCGUGGUCGAGACUGUAACAAUAGUUGCGACAGAUGAGGAAAUCGUGGGGCAAAUCCAAUUCCUAUCGAGGCGGCUCAACUAUGAGGUAGCAAUGGUCUACCAAUAAUUCUCGCCAAAGGUGUCAGAUUCGCAAUGGUUUUAAUUAUCUUGCCCAAAUGUGUUUCCAGAGGUAUAAUCAUACCAUCAACCCUACAACAUAUUUGUCACAUCAAAAUCCAACAUCUUUUAAUCCACAAUGGUAUCCCGACACUAAGGCUACUUAUCACAUUAAUCCCAAUCUUGCUAUCCCACAACAAGUGGAAGAUUAUCGAGAAACGAAUCAAGUUCUCAUUGGUGAUGGUCAAGUGCUCCAAAUUCACCAUACUGGUCAGAGUGGGGAUGGUCUCAACUCGUUUUCCUUCAAGUCAACCUCUAGGAGCUACACCUCACAGUCCCCCAAUGUUUGUCUUUCAGCAAAAACGUUAUCUACCGGCAGACUCCUUCAUAUUAGGCAUUCGCACCGACGCGUCCUUAAUCAUCUCAUUAAGAAGCAUAAUAUUCCUUGUUCUAGUUUUAAUUUUAGUCAUAUUUAUAGUGCGUGCCAAAUUAGCAAGUCGCACAAGUUGAAUCAUCUACUUUCAAUCAAUAAAAGUACUUCUAUGUUACAGUUACUUUUUGUUGAUGGUCACAAAUAUUUCCACAUCUUUUUUGAUAAUUAAUCAUCUAUAACUGAAGAUUUUCUGUGAAACUAAAAUCUGAUGUGGUUCGUAUAUUUCAUAAUUUUAAAUUGCUUGUGGAAAAUAAAUCAAUACGAAUUAAAUUAGUUCAAUCCGACUGGGGUGGUGAAUUUCAUCCACUCUCCCCUAUAUUUGCAAGCUUUGAAGUCGUUCACCGUCUUUCCUGCCCCUACACUCACAAGAAAUGAGAGAAAGUUGAGCGAAAAUAUCACCACAUUGUUGAAACUUGAUUAAGACUCUUAAAUCAGUUCCACUCCAUCUCGUUAUUGGCACUUUUCCUUUAAAAUUAUUGUAUAUCUUAUCAAUAAAUUUCCUUCUCCCUUUCUUACAGACAAUUUUCCCUUUUAACUUGCACUUAACAAGUCUCUUCGCUAUUCCUUGAACUUAACAAGUCUCUUCACUAUUCCUUCCUCAAAGUAUUUGGGUGUCUCUGCUUCCCAUAAGUUAGUCCCUAUAACAAACACAAGUUUGACUUUCAAAGUAUUCCGUGGGUCUUUUUUGGGUACAAUGCUACACACCUUGGGUAUCGCUGUUUUGAUUUAUCCUUUGGUCAUAUAAAUAUAUAGCUUGUCACAUGUGCUUUGACGAAGCCAUUUUUUUGUCUUCCCAGCUGUCGAUAUAGGUCCUCAUCUCUCCAUAAUUUUAGCACCUUGAUCUUGGGCAUAUUUCUCGGUCUCUCUACCUCUGCUGUUUUCUUCCCCCUCCCCAGUUCCACAUCUCUAAACUACAGUUUCAUCUUCCGUGUCGAUGGAUGCCUAAUCCAGUUCCCCAUCACCAUCAAUAUCUAUUCUAAUAUCUCCACAAUCGAAUGUCACUACUCCCUCAAUAAAUACUAGUUCGACCAAAAAACUGUUGCCCAUUUCCCAUACCACACCUACUAACUAAUGUAACACCUCCUUAACACACUGAUCACAUGAUCCUUAUGCAUAUUCAACCCUUAUCCCACUUAUUCAUUGUUGAUCCCUCCUCUGUUAAUGAACCACCGUCCACUAAUCCAACCAAUUUCACCGAGGUUAAUAAGCACAAAGUUUGGUGUAAUGUUAUGGCCUCUGAGAUGGAUGUUCUUCUGCAUAAUAGAACAUGGUAUUUGGUCCCUUAUAAAUCUUCCACAAACAUUCUAGGAAGCAAGUGGGUUUUCCGAAUCAAGAGAAACUCAUCAGGUCACAUUAAAUUCUAUAAAACUAGUUUGGUUGUUAAAGGGUUUCACCUAGUUGAAGGUCAUGAUUACUUUGAAACAUUUACCCCUUUGGUUAAGACCUACUAUUCGUGUCGUUCUCAUAAUUGCAAUCUCUAAAGGGUGUCCCUUGAAACAACUUGAUGUUCAAAUGUCUUUCUUUACGGCCAACUUUAUAAGCUUAUAUUUAUCACUCAACCUAUUGAUUUCACUCACCCCUCCUACCCUAAUCAUGUUUGUUAAUUGUACAAGUCGUUGUAUGAUCUCAAGCAGGCACCAUGUGUUUGGUAUAUGAGACUUUAUAAAUUUCUUAUAGUCAUUGGUUUUUUGCCCUCUAA
Capsicum annuum is the source of this 3072-nucleotide long non-coding RNA. RefSeq lists it as uncharacterized. The transcript has 2 exons. NCBI's taxonomy places the organism in Eukaryota, Viridiplantae, Streptophyta, Magnoliopsida, Solanales, Solanaceae. The record is from RefSeq and is a predicted model, not a curated record.